CCCUUAGGUGUUCUGGGCCGCACGCGCGCUACACUGACGAAGUCAGCGAGCAUGUCCUACGCCGACAGGUGCGGGGAAUCUUGUCAAACUUCGUCGUGAUGGGGAUUGAUUUUUGAAAUUCUUGAUCAUAAACGAGGAAUUCCUAGUAAGCGCAAGUCAGCAGCUUGCGUUGAUUACGUCCCUGCCCUUUGUACACACCGCCCGUCGCUACUACCGAUUGAAUGGUUUAGUGAGAUCUUCGGAUUGGCGCCACUGCAGCUCAGCAAUGGGCUUGGUGGAUGCCGAAAAGUUGAUCAAACUUGAUCAUUUAGAGGAAGUAAAAGUCGUAACA
RNAcentral lists this ribosomal RNA (331 nucleotides) under uncultured eukaryote. RNAcentral's name for it is "partial 18S ribosomal RNA". It matches the Rfam family "Eukaryotic small subunit ribosomal RNA", at positions 1470 to 1796 of the family's 1831-position model. The record is from RNAcentral.